Molecule: transfer RNA, 69 nt
Filed under: Odorrana macrotympana
Lineage: Eukaryota; Metazoa; Chordata; Amphibia; Anura; Ranidae
Description: tRNA-His
Rfam family: tRNA
About the family: Transfer RNA (tRNA) molecules are approximately 80 nucleotides in length.
Source: RNAcentral
AUAAGUAUAAUUAAAUAAUAAUACUAGACCGUGAUUCUAGAGUUGAAAGUUAAAGUCUUCCUACUUAUC